Molecule: small nucleolar RNA, 140 nt
Filed under: Ochotona princeps (American pika)
Lineage: Eukaryota; Metazoa; Chordata; Mammalia; Lagomorpha; Ochotonidae
Description: Small nucleolar RNA SNORA74 (ENSOPRG00000023057.1)
Source: RNAcentral
CCCAGCUGUGGACAACGACCUAGGCUGCAUUGUACUUAGGCAAGUGUUACACUGCUGGGGGAAAAGCAACUAAUAGCUGGUGGGCACCCUGGGCCUAGUUAAUGCCAAAUCUGUGUUAACGAUAACAGUGUGCCAGCAUA